CACGUGGGUAACCUGCCUUAUAGUGGGGGAUAGCCUUUCGAAAGGAAGAUUAAUACCGCAUAAGAUUGUAGUAUCGCAUGAUAUAGCAAUUAAAGGAGCAAUCCGCUAUAAGAUGGACCCGCGUCGCAUUAGCUAGUUGGUGAGGUAACGGCUCACCAAGGCGACGAUGCGUAGCCGACCUGAGAGGAUGACCAGCCACACUGGAACUGAGACACGGUCCAGACUCCUACGGGAGGCAGCAUG
RNAcentral lists this ribosomal RNA (243 nucleotides) under uncultured bacterium. RNAcentral's name for it is "partial 16S ribosomal RNA". It matches the Rfam family "Bacterial small subunit ribosomal RNA", at positions 114 to 353 of the family's 1533-position model. The record is from RNAcentral.